This 253-nucleotide ribosomal RNA is filed under the name uncultured bacterium. RNAcentral's name for it is "partial 16S ribosomal RNA". It matches the Rfam family "Bacterial small subunit ribosomal RNA", at positions 524 to 776 of the family's 1533-position model. The record is from RNAcentral.
UACAGAGGGGGCGAGCGUUGUUCGGAAUUACUGGGCGUAAAGGGCGCGUAGGCGGCCCGCUAAGUCGAACGUGAAAUCCCCAGGCUCAACCUGGGAACUGCGUCCGAUACUGGCAGGCUUGAAUCCGGGAGAGGGAUGUGGAAUUCCGGGUGUAGCGGUGGAAUGCGUAGAGAUCCGGAAGAACACCGGUGGCGAAGGCGGCCUGCUGGGCGAUAGCUGACGCUGAGGCGCGACAGCGUGGGGAGCAAACAGG